Molecule: ribosomal RNA, 749 nt
Filed under: uncultured bacterium
Lineage: Bacteria
Description: bacterial SSU rRNA
Rfam family: Bacterial small subunit ribosomal RNA
Source: RNAcentral
AGAGUUUGAUCCUGGCUCAGGACGAACGCUGGCGGCGUGCCUAAUGCAUGCAAGUCGAGCGGGCUACGAUCUUCGGAUUGUAGCUUAGCGGCGAACGGGUGAGUAACACGUAGGUAAUCUACCCUUCAGAGGAGGACAACCUCAGGAAACUGAGGCUAAACCUUCAUACGUUCACUGGUAGGGAUACUGGUGAAGAAAGAGUUACCUUAGUGGUAGCUGCUGAAGGAUGAGCCUGCGGCCCAUCAGGUAGUUGGUGAGGUAACGGCUCACCAAGCCGAAGACGGGUAACCGGUCUGAGAGGAUGUCCGGUCACACUGGGACUGAGACACGGCCCAGACUCCUACGGGAGGCAGCAGCAGGGAAUCUUGGGCAAUGGGCGAAAGCCUGACCCAGCGACGCCGCGUGGAGGAAGAAGUCCUUCGGGGCGUAAACUCCUGGACUGGGGGACGAGUAAGGACGGUACCCCAGUAGAAAGGGACGGCUAACUACGUGCCAGCAGCCGCGGUAAAACGUAGGUCCCGAGCGUUGUUCGGAUUCACUGGGUGUAAAGGGGGCGUAGGUGGUUGUCUGUGUCUCAUGUGAAAACUCAGGGCUCAACUCUGAGAUUGCGUGGGAAACUAGGCAGCUAGAGGACGGUAGAGGGGAGUGGAAUUCCCGGUGUAGCGGUAAAAUGCGUAGAUAUCGGGAGGAACACCGGUGGCGAAGGCGGCUCUCUGGGCCGAUCCUGACGCUGAGGCGCGAAAGCUAGG